GACGAACGCUGGCGGCGUGCUUAACACAUGCAAGUCGAGCGGAGCGGCGAACGGGUGAGUAACGCGUGAGUAACUGCCCCCCUCUCUGGGAUAACAGUUGGAAACGGCUGCUAAUACCGGAUAGUGGGGGAUGACUCGCGGUGCAUUAGCUAGUUGGUGAGGUAACGGGCUACCAAGGCCACGGUGCAUAGCCGACCUGAGAGGGUGAUCGGCCACACUGGGCUGAGACACGGGCAAGACUCCUACGGGAGGCAGCAGUGGGGAAUAUUGCACAAUGGGGGAAACCCUGAUGCAGCAACGCGCGUGCGGGAUGACGGCCGUCGGGUUGUAAACCGCUUUCAGCCAUGACGCGGUAGUGGCAGAAGAAGCACCGGCUAACUACGUGCCAGCAGCCGCGGUAAUUC
Molecule: ribosomal RNA, 404 nt
Filed under: uncultured bacterium
Lineage: Bacteria
Description: partial 16S ribosomal RNA
Rfam family: Bacterial small subunit ribosomal RNA
Source: RNAcentral